GAUGAACGCUGGCGGCGUGCCUAAUACAUGCAAGUCGAGCGAACGGACGAGAAGCUUGCUUCUCUGAUGUUAGCGGCGGACGGGUGAGUAACACGUGGAUAACCUACCUAUAAGACUGGGAUAACUUCGGGAAACCGGAGCUAAUACCGGAUAAUAUUUUGAACCGCAUGAUUCAAAAGUGAAAGACGGUCUUGCUGUCACUUAUAGAUGGAUCCGCGCUGCAUUAGCUAGUUGGUAAGGUAACGGCUUACCAAGGCAACGAUGCAUAGCCGACCUGAGAGGGUGAUCGGCCACACUGGAACUAAGACACGGUCCAGACUCCUACGGGAGGCAGCAGUAGGGAAUCUUCCGCAAUGGGCGAAAGCCUGACGGAGCAACGCCGCGUGAGUGAUGAAGGUCUUCGGAUCGUAAAACUCUGUUAUUAGGGAAGAACAUAUGUGUAAGUAACUGUGCACAUCUUGACGGUACCUAAUCAGAAAGCCACGGCUAACUACGUG
Molecule: ribosomal RNA, 497 nt
Filed under: uncultured bacterium
Lineage: Bacteria
Description: partial 16S ribosomal RNA
Rfam family: Bacterial small subunit ribosomal RNA
Source: RNAcentral